Paramuricea clavata is the source of this 217-nucleotide non-coding RNA. The record is from the annotation of a GenBank genome assembly. Lineage: Eukaryota; Metazoa; Cnidaria; Anthozoa; Malacalcyonacea; Plexauridae.
GGAGAGGCCAGUGAACUCUAAUAACUGGAAGGCUAACUCCUAUGAUGAAAGUCUAUGAUUCGUUGAAGCCGGCGCGCGGGAAAAUCAGCUUUCAAAAAGACUAAGGAGAGUUUCGAGGAGUGAAAAAAAUUCUGCCAAAAGUUUGUUUUCGAGCAAAAAUUUGCAAGAAAAACACUUUUUCCAUGGGAAUACAACAAUGAUUGGGAUUUAAACCAGG